GUGGAAAGCAUUUUUGUAACUGCCUAUUUGCUUCGCUGUUGGCCAAAUAUGGAGUGAAACAUCAUGUCUCAACUCCAUACCAUCCUUAGACUAGUGGGCAGGUGGAAAUCUUCAAUAGAGAGUUAAAGAAGAUUCUCGAUGCUACGGUCAAUGCAUCACGUGAAGAUUGGGCUAAGAAACUAGACGAUGCACUUUGGGCAUAUAGAACAACAUUUAAGACUCCAAUUGGCAUGUCUCCAUAUCGAUCGAUAUUUGGAAAGACUUGUCAUCUGCCGGUUGAGUUAGAGCAUAAAGCAUACUGGGCUACACACUUGCUCAAUUUCAAUAUGAGAGCAGCAGUAGAAAAGAGGGUUCUACAACUUCAUGAGCUAGAUGAGUUUCGUUUGGAUUCGUAUGAGAAUGCAAAGAUUUACAAGGAAAAGAUCAAGAGAUGGCAUGAUAGGCAUAUAAGGGAGAAGGAGUUUGAGGUUGGUCAGCAAGUAUUGAUGUUCAAUUCACGCCUCAAGCUUUUUUUGGGAAAGCUAAAGUCUAGGUGGUCGAGUCCAUUCAUAGUAGUAGCUGUGUUUCCACAUGGUGCUGUGGAAGUGGUGUCUCAAGAUCAACAAAGAAGGUUCAAAGUAAAUGGACAACGGUUGAAAGCUUAUUGGGGAGGUAACUACUCUAGUGAGAAAACAACCGUGCCACUUGAUAAUGCAAAGAAGCCAGGACGACAAGGUCUAGCUAAAGACUAUAAAUUAAGCGCUUGUUGGGAGGCAACCCAAUCUUUCCAUCCCUUUUAUUUAUUUUUCUUUUAUUUAUUUAUUGAUGUUCGAGCCAAGUAACACUUGUUCCAGAAUUUUUGUGCCUUAAUGCUUU
This 855-nucleotide long non-coding RNA is filed under the name Olea europaea subsp. europaea. Lineage: Eukaryota; Viridiplantae; Streptophyta; Magnoliopsida; Lamiales; Oleaceae. The record is from RNAcentral.